RNAcentral lists this ribosomal RNA (526 nucleotides) under bacterium enrichment culture clone BW006. RNAcentral's name for it is "bacterial SSU rRNA". It matches the Rfam family "Bacterial small subunit ribosomal RNA", at positions 1 to 528 of the family's 1533-position model. The record is from RNAcentral.
UAGAGUUUGAUCAUGGCUCAGAUUGCACGCUGGCGGCAGGCCUAACACAUGCAAGUCGAGCGGUAGAGAGAAGCUUGCUUCUCUUGAGAGCGGCGGACGGGUGAGUAAUACCUAGGAAUCUGCCUGGUAGUGGGGGAUAACGUUCGGAAACGGACGCUAAUACCGCAUACGUCCUACGGGAGAAAGCAGGGGACCUUCGGGCCUUGCGCUAUCAGAUGAGCCUAGGUCGGAUUAGCUAGUUGGUGAGGUAAUGGCUCACCAAGGCUACGAUCCGUAACUGGUCUGAGAGGAUGAUCAGUCACACUGGAACUGAGACACGGUCCAGACUCCUACGGGAGGCAGCAGUGGGGAAUAUUGGACAAUGGGCGAAAGCCUGAUCCAGCCAUGCCGCGUGUGUGAAGAAGGUCGUCGGAUUGUAAAGCACUUUAAGUUGGGAGGAAGGACAGUAAAUUAAUACUUUGCUGUUUUGACGUUACCGACAGAAUAAGCACCGGCUAACUCUGUGCCAGCAGCCGCGGUAAUACAC